CUUACUCCCGCGCCUUCGAUCGCCCUCUCUCCCUUUCAGGCACACGCGUUGUUUUCUUUUGUUGCUAUCGCCGUCUCCGCAUCGCCGCCGCCACCUCACCCCCCCCACCCUCCUCGACGCACGCACGCCCUCUAUCAUCAUUAUCGCGCUCUCUCACACAUACACAUACCUCUUCUCUUUGCCAAGCUGAUUUCUUUAUGUUCACCAACCAGACCCUCCCCCCUCCUCCACCACCGACGCGCACAAACGCCAACACGCCCCCGCAGCCCUCGCGUCAGCACGCACACGCACACACACGCAUCCCUCUCCCUCUUUGCUUGGCAUCCCUUGCUGUUUCCUUACCCUUUUCGUCUUUGGUAUCCACGUCGCAUACACGACGCCUGUUCUUCAGUGUGUGCGCGGACCUGUGCGAUACGUCUGUCGCCUUUUACGAUUGCGACUGUGCUGGGGGUCUCACUGUGGGCGCUUGAUCGCCGUGUCUGUCGGUGGGUAGUGUCAAGGGCGAGCGGUGCAGCAGCGCUUGCCUCUCAUCUGUGCUCCCCCCUCCCUCCCUCCUUAUACUCCUCUCUGUUCUUUGGAGCAAAUCCUGCUGCGCGUUUCCGCUGUCGCUCUCCCUCUGUCCCCCUUGUGAGUGAGCGCGUCGCUCUCUCUCCUUCGUGUGCGCGUGUGUAGGCCCCCCUCCCCCUCCCCGGGCCUCUUUGCAGUUUCUUCUUUGUUGUUUUUGCUUCUGCCCGUGUGCACAUUUGCGCUUUGCCUCUCCCCCACCGUCUCGUGUGUUUCGCCGUUGGCCCUCCCCUCCCCUCCCGCUUUGGCCCGCCUCCGCACAUCUCCUCCGCUCCGCAUUCCUGUGGGGUACUCGGUGCGCCAACAACCAUUGUGGGCGAAACACACGCGCAUCCAGGAGCGGAAGCCUACUCAGUGUGUCCGUCUGCGUUUUCGUUUUCGUCCUCCGGUGGCCGCUGGUCCGUGUCUAUGUCGGUCAGUUCCCGGAGAAGUCUUUCCUUCCUGAAUUCGCUCCUCAAGGCGCACCGCAACAGCCACACCUAAGCACGAGCACACACGCAUACCCCCCUGUCUUACCUUCUUGUGUGUGUAUCUGUGUGUGUGUGUGUGUGUGUUGGUGGGCGCCUCACAUGUCUAUCACAGUUGCAGCCGAGGAGAAGCUAUACCCCUCCUUCCGCUUCGCCAUUGAUCGCGGCGGCACGUUCACGGACAUUAUCGCCCAUGUCACUCAUGCAGACGGUACGGUGACUCAGGAAGUCACGAAGUUGCUCUCUGUAGACCCACAGCACUACGCCGAUGCCCCAAGCGAAGGCAUUCGUCGCAUUCUGCGCAAGCACCUCCCCGAGAAGGUGGCUGCCACCGGCCCGGUCGAUGUGUCGCACCUUGAAGAAGUCCGCAUGGGCACAACCAUCGCAACGAACGCGCUUCUGGAACACAACGGCGAGCGCUGCGCCAUGGUGCUGACGGAAGGCUUCGAGGACAUCCUCACCAUUCGCGACCAGGCGCGCCCGCACCUCUUUGCGCUGAACAUCGUGAAGGCCCAGGCGCUCCCGGAGCAAGUGAUGGCUGCGAAGGAGCGCAUUCGCCCGGUGUCGGACAAGGAGCAGGCCGCGUACGCGUCGCAAGCGGAGUGGCCGUCGACGUGGGUGCGCUGCGGGGAGAGCUUUGUGAUGGAUGUGCUGCAGCCGCUGCACACCGAUGACAUCCGGCAGAAGCUACAGGCGGCCUACGAUGCCGGCAUCCGCAGCGUGGCCGUGUGUCUUCUUCACUCGUACGCCUACGCCGUGCACGAGCAGCAGGUCAAGCACAUUUCGCAGGAGGUCGGCUUCCCCGCCAUUUCGCUGUCCAGCGAGCUCAUGGCGCUCAUCAAGUACGUGCCACGCUCCAUCACGGCCUCCGUGGACGCCUACCUGAGCCCGCUCAUCCUCAACUACAUCGCCUCCUUCAAGGCGAACUUCGCGCACAAUCUGGCCGGUGUGCGGCUGUACUUUAUCCAGAGCGACGGCGGGUUGACGAGCGCCGACACCUUCUACGGCUACCGUGCCGUGCUUAGCGGCCCGGCUGGUGGUGUGGUGGGGUAUGCCCACACCUGCGCCGAAGACUUGGGCGCCACCGUGCAGGCUGUGGGCUUUGACAUGGGUGGCACAAGCACUGACGUCUCGAGAUGCGAAGGGCCAGUAGUGUACCACACCGUCGAGGCCGAGAUUGCUGGCACGCCAGUGCAGGCCCCGCAGGUGCAAGUGCACACUGUCGCCGCUGGCGGCGGGUCGCUGCUGCGGUGGGAAAACGGGAUGUUCCACGUGGGUCCCACCUCUGCGGGCGCGCACCCGGGACCCGCCUGCUACGGCAAGGGUGGUCCACUGACAGUGACAGAUGCAAAUCUGGUGCUGGGCCACCUGCACCCCGACUACUUCCCCAAGGUGUUUGGCCCCAACGCGGACCAGCCGCUGGACAAGAAGGCCUCUGUGAAACUGUUCAAGGCCUUGGCCGCCGAGAUCGCACGCGACUGCAGCGAGGGCACUGGCCCCUUCAUGUCCGUCGAGGAGCUAGCCUUUGCGUUUGUCCUCGUGGCGAACGAGGCGAUGUGCCGCCCCAUUCGCAACAUCACCGAGGCCAGCGGCCACCGCUGCGCCGAGCACGCGCUGGCGGUCUUCGGCGGUGCCGGCGGCCAGCACGCGUGUGCCAUGGCCCGCUCAUUGGGCAUGAACAAGAUCUACGUGCACCGCCUCGCCUCCAUCCUAAGUGCCGUGGGGGCAAGUGUGACGGAUGUUGUGGAGGAGCGCAUGGCAAGCGUGCGGCUGGACCUGCGCGCGGAGGGACUGGCGCCGGUGGUGGUGCAACAGUUCGACGAGCUCAUCGGCUCUGCUGCGGCUCAGCUGCGUCGACUUGGCUUCGACGACAAUCACAUUGUCAUUGAGCGCUUCCUGAGCAUGCAGUACGAGGGCACCAACACGAGCCUGAUAAUCGCGGAAGGCGAUGACCAGGCGGUCGCCGCGUCAGCCGUCUUCAGCGCUGAAAAGUUUGAGCGCCUCUACCUGGCGCAGUAUCAGCAGCAGUACGGCUUUGUCCUAAGCGGCGCCCGCCGCAUCAUCAUCGACGGUGUGCGCAUCCGUACGCGUGGAACGCUGCAAAGCCGAUCCGAGCGCGAGGCACAGGCGGCAAGCGCGGCGACUGCGACGCAGAAGCAACUCCAGCAGCCGCCGUACACGACUCGGACGGAGAAGGUGCCUCCGCAGCCGGUGUCCAUGACGCGCAGCUACUUCGCCUCUGGCUGGGAGGAAAUUCCUGUUUAUCACGUCGACCCCGCCAACGGGCCUCUCCGCGGCCCCGCGCUGCUCAUCAUGAACGGCACGAGCGUGCUGCUGGAGCACGAGUCCACGGCAUACACGAACGACAAGGGCAACGUUAUCAUCCACACGGCGCAGAUCGUGGAGCAGUUCACGACGGAGCUGAGCCCGCUGCCGCUCUCCAUCUUUUCUCACCGCUUCAUGUCAAUAGCAGAGCAGAUGGGCAACGCGCUGCAGCGGACGAGCAUCUCAACCAACAUCAAAGAGCGUCUGGACUUCAGCUGCGCCAUCUUCGACCCAGACGGCAACCUCGUCGCCAAUGCGCCGCACAUCCCCGUGCACCUCGGGGCUAUGGGGGCCGCGGUGCGCUGGCAGCGCGACCACUACGGAUCGGAGUGGAAGGAGGGCGACGUUAUGUUGACGAACCACCCCGCCUGCGGCGGUAGUCACCUGCCCGACAUUACCGUCAUCUCCGCGUUCUUCCAUGAAGGCAAGAUCGUGUCCUACGUCGCCUCGCGUGGCCACCACGCCGACGUCGGGGGUACGACGCCGGGAUCCAUGCCGCCCUUCUCGAAGACACUCAUGGAAGAAGGGGCGGCCAUCAAGACACUGAAGCUGGUCCAGCAAGGCACCUUCAACGAGGACGGCAUCCGCGAGGCCCUGCUCGCCCCCGGCAAGCUACCCGGCAUGUCCGGUUGUCGCACCAUCGAGGACAGCGUCUCUGACCUCCGUGCGCAGGUGGCCGCGAACAACCGCGGCAUUCAGCUGCUGCAGGGACUGAUCGAGUCCUAUACUCUGGAGGUGGUGCAAGCAUACAUGAAGCACAUCCAGACCACCGCCGAGCUCGCCGCACGCAGGGUGCUGCAGCGCAUCGCUCGCGAGUACGGCGAAGCCGCAGAGAGCGGCACCGCGGACACGGGUCUGGUGACGCUGCAGGCGACAGACUACAUGGACGACGGCACGCCGAUCUGCCUGCGCAUCUCGAUCCAGCCGGAGAGCGGCGAAGCCACGUUUGAUUUCACCGGCUCCGGCAGCCAAGUACUGAACUCGACCAACUGCCCGACCGCCGUCGUGCACUCCUCCAUCAUCUACUGCAUCCGCUGCCUCGUCGACUCCGACAUUCCGCUGAACCAGGGCUGCAUGAAGCCGAUCACGGUGGUGGUGCCGCCCAACUCCAUCCUGAGCCCCGACGAGGACCUUCCGGUAGUGGCGGGCAAUGUGACGACGAGCCAGCGCGUGACGGAUGUGGUACUCAUGGCGCUGCGUGCCGUCGCCAACUCACACGGCUGCAUGAACAACUUCACUCUGGGCUCCAGCGACUUCGCCUAUUACGAGACCAUCUGUGGCGGCAGCGGCGCCGGCCCAACCUUCGCCGGCACCUCUGCCGUGCACACGAACAUGACAAAUACGCGACUCACCGACCCAGAGAUAUUCGAGGCGCGCUACCCGAUCCUACUGCGAACCUUCCGCAUCCGCCGCGACUCUGGCGGUGCAGGCCUCCACCGCGGUGGCGACGGCGUGGUGCGCAGUGUGCUUGCGCUGCGUGACAUGAUCGCGGUAGUGCUGACGGAGCGGCGUGUGUUGGCGCCGCAGGGUCUCCUUGGCGGCGGCAGCGGCGAGCGGGGCUUGAACAUGUUGUAUGUGCCAGUCACCCCAUCGCACACAGCCACCCUCGGCGCGCCUGUGUGGAAGAACGCGCACGACAUGCUGCACGACAAGAUGCGCGGGCCGUGGAUGGAGGAGGAGCAAACAACCCUCUACCACCCUCGCAACAUCGGCGGCAAAAAUGUCGUGGAUGUAAAGAUGGGUGACAUCAUCACCCUCUACACUGCCGGCGGUGGCGGGUGCUACGCCGCGGCGGCGUAGUCGUCGUCUGCGUUCGACAAGCACGACAGCGGCCGGUGAGCAAUGGGAGGGGGUUGCAGAUGGCUCGAGCACGAAGGAAAGGAAGAGCAGCGCAGCGUACACAAGUGACACGGUCUCGCUUAGUCUGUCGGCACCACACGCGACACAUGCACGCAGUGGCGCCGCACAAGAGCGAGAGCUGAACUCGUACUCAAUCGGAAGAGAGUGGACACCUUGAAAACGACAUGCUCUUCCUGUAACGUGUAAGCCGCGUGUGCGUAUGUGUAUCUGUCUCUGACUCCGUGUGGCCGCCGUGGCUGCCUCUCUCCUUGCGUCUGAUGUGCUCCAUGUUGUGCUCCCUUGGCCCGUUUGUAUUGGUGGACAUGGCGAGUGGGGCAAAGAGGGAGUAACCCCACCAACCUAUGCUUACUUGUCUUCUUUUACCAGUCUCCUUCACCUCCUGUACCGUCUUUCCUCCCCACCCACGCCCCACCGCCCUCCACUUGUGUGUGUGUCUGUGGCGGCAGAGAGGGAAAAAAGC
RNAcentral lists this unclassified non-coding RNA (5676 nucleotides) under Leishmania donovani. RNAcentral describes it as "gene:LdHU3.18.1340(CDS-product:5-oxoprolinase_put ative)". Lineage: Eukaryota; Euglenozoa; Kinetoplastea; Trypanosomatida; Trypanosomatidae. The record is from RNAcentral.